GUGAAUCAUCAAAUCUUUGAACGCAAAUUGCGCUUCCUAGCAUCCCGGGAAGUAUGCCUGUUUGAGGGUCAGUAUUAACAAAAAAAUCGGUUUGGUUGCAAAUUGUGACGUUUCCGGAGUUUGGGCUAUCCUAACUUUUUGGUUUAGGGGGCUUAAAAUUACCCUUUUUGCGCAUUUUUUAACGUACAAAAAUUUUUUUUUUUUUUGUUUUUUUUUUAUUCCAAAAUUUUUUUUAAUUUCGUUCAC
This 246-nucleotide unclassified non-coding RNA is filed under the name Glomerales sp. RNAcentral describes it as "partial contains 5.8S ribosomal RNA and internal transcribed spacer 2". The stretch from base 1 to 71 matches the Rfam family "5.8S ribosomal RNA", at positions 84 to 154 of the family's 154-position model. Lineage: Eukaryota; Fungi; Glomeromycota; Glomeromycetes; Glomerales; Glomeraceae. The record is from RNAcentral.